ACGUUUUGUGUUGAUCCUUGGACUCUUACCCUCAACAACGUUAUCUGGUUAAGUUCCGGAAUGAAGGCGGCCAAGAUUGGUGUUCGAAUCGGAGUUUCCAGAAAACGUGAUUUUCGGACCUUUCAAGGAAAUUCCAGAAUUGUUGGAAUCCAUUUCGUUAAGAAAACUCGAACUCGGGAAGGCACGCGUCAACCAAGUGAGUGAUGCCAUGGAUCGAGGCGGGAAUGCAUGCUGAAUCUUAAUGCCACAGAGGAGUGUCUCAGGGCGUCUAGGAGUCUGUGCAUAAUUUUGUUUAGAUCUGUCAUGCAUUGUUUUGUAAACCGUUUACAUACUUUUCAUAC
Long non-coding RNA from Cucurbita moschata (crookneck pumpkin), 341 nucleotides. RefSeq lists it as uncharacterized. The record is from RefSeq and is a predicted model, not a curated record. NCBI's taxonomy places the organism in Eukaryota, Viridiplantae, Streptophyta, Magnoliopsida, Cucurbitales, Cucurbitaceae. The transcript has 3 exons.